AAUUUGAAAUCUGGCCCCUUCGGGGUCCGAGUUGUAAUUUGUAGAGAGCGCUUCGGGCGAGGUCGCGGUCUAAGUCCAUUGGAACAUGGCGUCGUAGAGGGUGAGAAUCCCGUAUGCGACCGUGGACCGAGCCCAUGUGAAGCCUCUUCGACGAGUCGAGUUGUUUGGGAAUGCAGCUCAAAAUGGGUGGUAUAUUUCAUCUAAAGCUAAAUAUUGGCUGGAGACCGAUAGCGCACAAGUAGAGUGAUCGAAAGAUGAAAAGCACUUUGGAAAGAGAGUCAAACAGUACGUGAAAUUGUUGAAAGGGAAGCGCUUGCAACCAGACCUGCCCGGGGGCGAUCAGCCGCUGUUCUCAGCGGUGCACUCGUUCCCCGAUCAGGCCAGCAUCGGUUCCGGCGGUCGGACAAAGGUCCCGGGAAUGUAGCUCCCCUUGGGGAGUCUUAUAGCCCGGGGCGCAAUGCGGCCAGCCGGGACCGAGGACCGCGCUUCGGCUAGGAUGCUGGCGUAAUGGUUGUCAGCGACCC
This 524-nucleotide ribosomal RNA is filed under the name Oropogon lorobic. RNAcentral describes it as "eukaryotic LSU rRNA". It matches the Rfam family "Eukaryotic large subunit ribosomal RNA", at positions 112 to 650 of the family's 3401-position model. The record is from RNAcentral. Lineage: Eukaryota; Fungi; Ascomycota; Lecanoromycetes; Lecanorales; Parmeliaceae.